This 4630-nucleotide small RNA is filed under the name Rattus norvegicus (Norway rat). RNAcentral's name for it is "uncharacterized LOC102551711". The record is from RNAcentral. Lineage: Eukaryota; Metazoa; Chordata; Mammalia; Rodentia; Muridae.
AGGAGAGUUUACUUUGUGGCCGGUGAGUAAAUGCAUUUUAAAUGUUUUCAGGGUUUGAGCCACCUUCAGAGUACAGCAUGCAGGAAAGUCAGUAAAAGGAGAAAUGGGCAGUGGCUUUAUGUUUCCAUCUCUCGUGGUCGCUUUGAACACACAUAACUUACACAGCGGCUGCCCGACAUCAUUUGCUUACAUAACAUGUUUUAUUUAGCCAGACUAUUAUUGCUAGGUGUUUAGAAUGUUAGUCUGUUACUACUGGAUAUGCAGACACAAAAGCUUUCAAUCAUAAAUAUUUAUUAUAGAAAAUGCUUCCAUGUACACCAUUUUGUACUCAGCUUUUCUCCUUUAAUUUAUCAUAAAAUUAAAUAACCAGCAGCCACAUUUGGGGGUUAAGUUGGUCUAUUUUGUGUUUUUUUAUGGUGUAUUUUUUAAGUUACUGUCCUUUAUCACCAAUAUGUAGGGUCUUUAUUGGCUGUCAAAAUACGGUACAUUCAUUACUGUAACAUACUCUUUCUAUGACUGCUCCACGGCCACUUACAACUGUAUGUCUGUGGGAGCAGGGCUCCUGUCCCCAGUGUAAUUCCCAAUGCAGACUAAGUGCUCCAUGAGAGUAAAUACAUUCUGUGAUGGACUGAGCAUGAAGGGAUGAAACAAAUGCACUUUUGUUUUCACUUAAAUAUUCCGAUUUACAGUUGUUAUUUGAGAUCAGAUAAGUGAAGAGUCUGAAUUCUCAAGUAACUGAUACUUGGUUCUUCUUGUUUUUAAAAGUUUCAUUAGCUUUUUUAACAGUGCACAAGCCUCGUCUGGCUUCAAUUUUACUGUCAGCUCUGAGAAGAAAGACACGAAAGUUUCCUCAAGAGGGCGCCCCGCUCUAAGCUUCCUUGAGAGAGCGCCCUGUUAUAAGUUUCCUCAAGGGGGCUCCCUGCUCUAAAUUUCCUGCCACCUUUCCUUGGAAGGAAGAAAUAAGUGCUCUAUUAGAAAAAAAAAAUCUGUAUGACACUUCAUACCAAAAAAAUAAGGUCUGACCUUUCUGAGCAUAACAUUUCAAAUAUUACAGAAUAAUUCAUUAUGACCUUUUAGAGAUAUUCAACCAGACAGUCAUUUUGGUUGUGGAAUCAGAAAAUAGAGAGAAAGAAAGUCACACAGUUGGCAGUGAUGACCACUAGGCAGACGAGGUGCCUGGCAUAUCAUGUUUCCUGUUAUUCUUGGCUCUCAGACUUUCCUAACCACAUGCUAUAUACCAGUAAUAGGCGCUCCUCCAUUCAGUCAACAAACAUUUGUUAUGCCUGGUUAUGAAGCUUUUAACAUCUUGGUGCUACAAUAAAGUGUGGUGGGAAAUGUCUACAGAUUAAAGUACCCUUCUGCAUCUCACGUGUAAAGCAGAGGCAACAACAACGCCCAGGAUUCUUACCGUGUAAAAGGAGGCAUGCAGUAUCUGAAACAUAAUUGAACAACGCACCAAGUGGGUGCCUAGCAAAUGUUUCCUAGGACUACGAGGUUUCCCAGAGACUGGGUUUCUCAUCAGACCUGGAUCUCACCAAGACUAGCCUGGCCAGCAAGACGAUGAAGAUGGUAGGUGGAUGGGAGAAGAGCUGGUCAUAAAGGGUGGCAGGUAGAGAGGCUUGGUUAUCGCCAUCUAUAGUGCAGCCAGUGGGUAAGAAGAGAACCAAGAAUACAGAUAGAAUGAUAGAGAUAAAGGCUUGUCUGAUUUUCUUACACUGAAGGUCAUGUCUAUGAUCUACCCACAGUUUAUAACUCAAGGCCAACAGAAAUUUGACUGCUGCUCUGGGGAGGAGACAGCUAUAUGAACAGAUGAGCUUCUUCAGGUCUGGACACUAUCAGAUCUCGUACUGGAUUCUAACAAAAUGAAGAUGGCUUGCACAUGAAUCACAGAGAGGUGGAGAUGCGGCUGACCUACUGCAGUGUUUGCCACGGCCACCCAUGAACAACGAAGCAUUUCUAUUAAUGUUUAGUUCUGAUUCUUCGCUAUAACUGAUGUCAUCCAAUACCCAAACAUGGAUCCAAUUACAGGCCAGAAGUACAGGGACAGGCGCGACCUUAUUUUAAUCUAAUGGUCACAUAUCCAUAUGCUCCCUGAGAGCAUGUGAGCAUGAGAAGCCUUAGAGUGCGUCAUGUGUGACAACCGAAGCUGCAACUGCCUGUGACACUGACCGGUACCUCUUCCGUGUUUGUACAUAGGCCAGGGCAGAGUCCUCCGUUGGCUUGGGGAGCUGUGAUACCAAGGUUCAACAUUAAGCUCCCCUGUGUAGGUACUGACCAGGGGUAAACUGGCCUUGGAUACUACAUUCUAGAUGUUUGGAGUAAGACCUACUGUCUCCUAUGGGACCUAUUCACAGUUGACUUAGUCUAGGAUGCUGUCAGUCACAGUAGUGUUGACAUUCCUUACUUAGGCAACUUCCCAGGGUCAUGCGGGGGACGAGACUGUGCCUUCAUACUGGCUAACGUAAAACAGAGAGCCUAGAGCUCAGUGCUGCUUAGCAGUGACGGAAGUGCAGUGUGCACAGCAUCCAUCCGGCUCCCCAGCUCAGGCUUUCUACUGUGCUGUGAGUAAAUAGCUCCUUUGUCUACGCUCUGGAGUCUAAUGUUGAUUUUAAGCAUCCACGCAAUAUUAACAGACCAGCUUCUUAGCUUGCAUAUGGGCAAAAUCAAAUCUGAGACCUGUCUGACAAUUCAGUAUUAUUAUAGUACAGAGCACUGGGUAAGACGUUAACGUUAUGACUAAAUAGAUUCUAGAAUGACAUGAUAAGGAACGCAAAACCCAUUUGUCUAGCAUUUAUAGCAUUCAAUUAUUAUUUUUAAAUGAAAGCACAUAAACUGGAGCUAUGAACCAUUACAUCCUACUUGAAAUAAAAACAUACUUUCUGUAUAUACAUAAAUGGUUCUGUGUAAUGAAAGCCAAUAUGUUUUUAACCUAGACCAGGAGAUUACUACCCGCAUACAAAACAGAGACUAUAAAUGCUUCUGUCUUUGGACUAUCUUCCUGUCUCGUAUGAUUUAAGUGUCUGCUUGUAUUUUGGAUUUUUAGUCGGUAGAGUGAAUUUUUAUAGGACAGCAAAGCAAAUAGUUAUAAAAAUCAAAUUACUGAAGAAUAUGAAUUUACUGAGCUCUAGAAACGAAAUUGAGUCUGCAUUGUUCUUUCCCAGUGGCAGACAGAGUCUCUCCUUCCUUAAAGUUCUGGUGGUCAAUUUCAAAUACUGUGCUUUGUGACAAAGCUUUGUAAUUGCCUGUGACGGUGAGUGUGUCGCUAGCCUGCCAUACUGAGCAAAUCUUUGGAAACAGUUUAAAAAGUUCCUUGACAAUUCUAAGCAAAGGCGAAGAAGGAUGCUUCAAAGGCAGCCUCUGAGCUUUAUUUGCUGUUUUCCAAGUUUAAGAUGCUCAUCCAUCUGGCAGAGCAGCCAGACCAGACCUCAGCCAAGAACAUCUCUCUGACUGAAACACAUUCUGGCUCUCAAAGAGGAUUUGACUGAAGGGAAAGCAACAUCUUUAGCUGCUCCAUGGCUGAACUCUGCUAAUAUUUCUCCCCAGUGCCUCCUCCAAGCCUUGGCUCCAUCUACUAACUUGGUUUCCAUAGGAAUAGACAGAGCUAUCAAGUGCCGCAUCGUCAAACAGUAUAAGAAAAAAAAAAUGUUACUGCAAAAAAAAAAUGCCUUUCUUCUCUAUGAAGAAACUAUGGAAAGACUCUUUAUUCUAAGACUUCUUACCCAACAGCAGGAUUUUCCUGUGUCUUUUGGGAUUAUGAUAGUAUAUUUUAUUUAGAUUAUCAAGUCUUCUCAGCAGACAGGAAUUUAUCUAUAGGAAACUAACAAAAAAUAAAAAAAAUGCAAAAGUGCUUAAAAAAAGUGCAAAAGGCGUGAUGAUUAUUUUCAUGAGGGCAGUUCUAUCCUGCUUGUGCUAUUCUCUCAUUUAUUUAGGGUGGUUCUUUAAAAUGGCGUGGCCUUUUAAAGUUAGUUUUACAGUUAGCUUACGACGACAUUUUAUACAAAGGGUGUUGUUCUCGUUCCUUCCCCUUCCCCGGUCCCUAGCUUUCCUCCCCUCCAUGUGCAGCGAGAGCCUGUCUUCUCCCGUGCAGCCUCGGCUGGCUUCCUUGUUCCAUGCCUUCUGUCACACCUGUGCUUCCCACCGCCCUCGAGAUCACUUCUCCUCUCAUAGCCCCCUUCUACUUCCAUACCACACACUCUCUCUCCCCGUCUCUCAUAAUUUUAAAUCAAGACUUUAUGAAUGAGAGAAAACAUGAAGCAUGUGCCUUCUGUUACCCCCUGAACUUCCCACCGCUCUCGAGAUCACGAUCAUGAUCCCCUUUCUACUUUCAUGCCAUACAUUGUCCCCUCCCCGCUCCUUUCUAUUUAAUCUAAUCCCACUGUGUGUAUGAGCCGUAUUACCUUCAGCCACUCACCUGUUGAGGACGUCUGGGCUGAUUCCACUUCCUGGCUAUUGUGACUAACCAGCAACAGAUAGGAAUAUACAACUGUCUCUGUAGGGAGCGUCUAGAGUCAUCUGGAUACAUACCCAGGUAUAGCUGGGCCAUAUGGUAUCUCCAUUUUCAGUUCUUAAAAAGAGUUACUUUAUUAUUUAUCCAUGGGUAUGUGUACGUAUGCCACAAGUGUGUAUGUGC